CCUACGGGAGGCAGCAGUGGGGAAUAUUGCGCAAUGGGCGAAAGCCUGACGCAGCGACGCAGCGUGAGGGACGAAGGCCUUCGGGUUGUAAACCUCUUUCAGCGGGGACGAAGCGAAAGUGACGGUACCCGCAGAAGAAGCACCGGCUAACUACGUGCCAGCAGCCGCGGUAAUACGUAGGGUGCAAGCAUUGUCCGGAUUUAUUGGGCGUAAAGAGCUCGUAGGCGGCUUGUCACGUCGGAUGUGAAAACUCGGGGCUCAACCCCGAGCCUGCAUUCGAUACGGGCUAGCUAGAGUGUUGCAGGGGAGACUGGAAUUCCUGGUGUAGCGGUGAAAUGCGCAGAUAUCAGGAGGAACACCGGUGGCGAAGGCGGGUCUCUGGGCAACUACUGACGCUGAGGAGCGAAAGCGUGGGGAGCGAACAGGAUUAGAUACCCUGGUAGUCCACGCCGUAAACGGUGGGCGCUAGGUGUGGGGAACCUUCCUACGUCUCUGUGUCGUACGUCUACGCAUAAGUCGCCCGCCCGUCGGGGUAGGUACGGCCGGCGACGGACGUAAACCGUAACGAAACGGAAGUUAGACGGCGUGAGACGUCGCCGACGGACCGACCGACGAGGGAGGUAGG
RNAcentral lists this ribosomal RNA (625 nucleotides) under uncultured bacterium. Its description in RNAcentral is "bacterial SSU rRNA". The stretch from base 1 to 525 matches the Rfam family "Bacterial small subunit ribosomal RNA", at positions 338 to 873 of the family's 1533-position model. The record is from RNAcentral.